GAUGAAGAACGUAGCGAAAUGCGAUAAGUAAUGUGAAUUGCAGAAUUCAGUGAAUCAUCGAAUCUUUGAACGCACAUUGCGCCCCUUGGUAUUCCGAGGGGCAUGCCUGUUCGAGCGUCAUUAUAACCCCUCAAGCUCAGCUUGGUGUUGGGGCCUGCUGCACUGGCAGCCCUUAAAAUCAGUGGCGGCGCCAUCUGGCUCUGAGCGUAGUAAUUCUUCUCGCUAUGGAGUCCUGGUGGAUGCUUGCCAUCAACCCCCAAUUUUUCUAUGGUUGACCUCGGAUCAGGUAGGGAUACCCGCUGAACUUAAGCAUAUCAAUAAGCGGAGGA
RNAcentral lists this unclassified non-coding RNA (329 nucleotides) under soil metagenome. Its description in RNAcentral is "partial contains 5.8S ribosomal RNA, internal transcribed spacer 2, and large subunit ribosomal RNA". The stretch from base 1 to 120 matches the Rfam family "5.8S ribosomal RNA", at positions 35 to 154 of the family's 154-position model. The record is from RNAcentral.